Molecule: non-coding RNA, 9521 nt
Organism: Pelodiscus sinensis (Chinese soft-shelled turtle)
Lineage: Eukaryota; Metazoa; Chordata; Testudines; Trionychidae
Source: RefSeq, a predicted model, not a curated record
UGUGUCACUCUGGACCCUAUCUCUGCCCUCCAGUGUGUCUACCUCUCCCCCUAGCUUAGUGGGAUUGGAGAUUCCCAUCUCAAUCCAAUGUUUAGGUAAGAAAUGCAAUUUUCUUUGGAACAUAUGUUGUGCUGUACUGCUAGGAACUUUACAAGUACAAUAAACGAUUAAGAUAGGAAUUAGAAUUGAAUAGAAAGAUGCUUCAAAUACCUUUUUUCACAUGCCUCUUUUCACAUAAUGCUUCCAAACCAGAGCACAUGGAUUCAAGAUUCAUCACUAACUGCUGGAUACUUUCUCAUUUAAGGCACACUAACCACUCCCAGAAUUGUAGUUAAGCUAAAGCCUCAACUUUUUAAAAACUUUGGAAGAAGAAUGGAUUUGGAAAUUCCAAAAUGUUUAGCAAAAAGAGAACGGGGAGGUUGAGAGUGGUGGGCAAGAGUGUGACUGGGAAUAAGGUCGCUUUUUCUACAUUGUUUUCAGGUUCUAAUAUUAUAAGCUAUAGACUGACAUAGAGCUCACCUUGACAGUUCUGCAAGACCACAUGCCUCCCCUAAUCUGUGGGACCUUCAUUUAAAGAAAUUCUAUUCCUUGCCUUUUUGCUUUCAAGAAAGCUUUGACAAUAUUAACUGAUAUGAACCAGCCACUAGUGUUCAAAGCCCACCACUUCUAAGGAAAAUAUCAGAUAUUCCAAAAUCAACCAGCACUAGCCUUUUGGUCCUGUGUAUAAACAUGCAAUAGCCAUAGGUGGUCUGAGUUUUUGCAAAUUUGCAGAUUAGAUCAGUAAGGUACAAUUUUGAUCAAACUACUUUAAUGAUAAGUCACAAGUUCUCUACCAGCUGCUGUCCCAGGCUGAGCCAUUUCCUUUGCGGCAUGCUGUAGGUGAAAUCGAGUAAUCCCUACUCUGUGUUUCCCUCAAAGCACAGACCAACAUUUUCAAACCUGCAUGCCAUUGAAUUCAGUGGUAGCUGUGAAUGCUUAAUACCUCUGAAAUCAUGGCAUGUACUUAGGGGUUUGAUUAUACAUUGGGUGACUAAACAUACUUGAGUUUGAAAAUGUUGGCCUUAGCCUCUCUGUCCUCACUUAGUUCCCACAUCAGUGAAUUGGAAAUCAUAGCUGUGUCACUGAAGAGGUGGGGUCUGUGAUAAUUUAGUAAUUGUUUGUUUGUGCUAUCCAAGUCCUAAAACUCUUAGAAUGCACACACCUAUUGCAUUAUAUGUAAAUUCUAUAAUAAUACUUCCACUUUAGAUAUAUAUUUAAGCCAGGAUUUUCAAAACUGUGAGCCUAAAAUUAGGCUCCUAAGUCUAUAUAUAGGUACCAAAGUAAGUGAUCUAAUAGGACUUCCUAUGUCUUCAGCACUUUUGAUUUUUCACUUAUGUAGGUACGUACAAAAAUCAGAGGCUAAUUUUAGGGGAUCUAUUUUUUUUAAAAAAUCUUGGUUUUUAUGAUUUUCAUCUUAUAGUUGUUUCUGCUCCCUUCCCCCAUUCUAAUGAUUCUAUAUUUUUUCCAGUUUUCAUAGGUCUACAACUUAAUUUUGUGUAUGUGUGUGGUCUCUUUAGCACUGUACCAAUUGCUUCCCUUCUUUGUGCUUUUGUUUAGGUACUUUGAGAGGGUGUGUGUGUGUUAAACAGCUCAUGCAACUUGUUCAUGAUCAUGAAAUAAUUCAACAAACUAUUUCCAACUGACCAACCUAGAGAGAGGUCUGAACAAGGCUUCUGAAUGUUGCUGUCUGUUUUUGUGUUCUGUAUAAUAAAUGCAGAAUCAGGAGCUGCAUAAAUGUGUCUCAGGUUAUUCUAAGCUGAUAUACCAGAUUCUUACAGGCAUGGCCACUGCUGUAAUUGGAGAAGCAAACAAAGUUUUUGAAGCACUUUCUGUGAUAUGCACAUCAUGUUGCUGUGCUUCAGAAACCGUCUAUGAAUGCAGUAUCAAAUAUUGAGAGUCAGGGCUAUAUGAGACUGUUAUCCCCAGUUUCUCCAUUUCUUCAAUGGUGCAGGGAGCUGUGCUUCAUGUUGGGAGAGCAUUUUCUUGUUUGCUUUUUCCACCAAGAGAUUACUUACUAGUAGUAUUUUGAGAGUGUUACUUCUCUUUUCCAGGAACCCUUUCUAAAGGGUUGUCAUAAAAUAUUGUAUAUUUUCAUGCCCUCAGCUCACCAACCUGAUAUUUUGGAUUGGAAGCAAUCACUACGAAUCCCAUGUCACCCUUUGCAUCUCCACCGUCCCUGUAUGCUGCUAAGGAUACUUGUAAUCAGAAAGCUAGAAGGCUACCUCAUGUGUCAAGGAAUGUAUGUGUGUCAAUACACGAGUUCAGGCUAGCAGAUUUUGUGUGAUCCAGUCCUGCAGUAGCUAUGAGCUCCCCCAUGUUGUCUUGAUGAGGCUUGGGUAGAAGAUUGGAAGGUGAAUCAAUUGAUUAAUUUGAAAUGGGGAGGUUACCUUAGGGAUGAAUUUUAGAUGGGGCCAGAAAAAAUAGCGUGUGUGGGGUGUGUGUCAUCAGACCAUCUAUCUUAUUCUCCAGGCCAAGGUAAUUGCUAUCAGGAAGGCUGUUUUCACUGAUAGAUACAACAGCAAACAAGUGACCAUGGCUUAGGAGGCAGGAUUAGGUCUCAUGUAGGAAUAGACAGUCAAAGUUGAGAGAAGAGGUUAACUAUAUCCUUGAGGAAUCUCAUAGUGGUUGAGUGUGACAGCACAGAAUAGCCUUCUACAGGUUGAUAUAAAGCUGUUACUGCUGCUUUCUGGACCUGGAGAGAUUAGGGUCAAUACAUAGUCCAUGACAUGCAGAAAAGUCACAGAUAUUGCAGAGAUUUAUUGGGGUAUACAUCAGAUCUGAAACCUGGACUGUUUCUGUUUUAAGUAUGUCCUGUCAAGGACUUUCUACCAUGUAAUAGAACCUCUUCUAUCUCUCUUGAGCAGAGGUUUUCUAAAGAAAACCAGGAAUUAUAACUUGAGGCAGAGAAUCAAGCUGGGAUGUAGGAGACGAUAUCUGUUCCUUGAGAGGUGUGGAAUGAAGGUGUGGUUGGGUGAAGGAUUAAGGGGUAUGUUGCAAGCCGUAGCAGGUAAGGGUAUUAAGUUUGUCUUGGCCAAGUAAGAGUAAUCAGAAUGAUGUGAGCUCUGUUCCUUUUUACUUUCAGCAGGCCCUUCAGUAGUAAAGUAAAUGAGGGAAAGGCCAAGAGAAGGAUCUUGUCUCAGGAGAGGAGAAAACUUUACCCAGGGAGAGCUAUCCCAUCCCCACUCUGGUAGUGAGGACAUUUCUUGUUCAGGUGAGUGGCAAGAAUGAUGGGGGGUGGGGGGGAGCAUACUAUCCACGGACCUGAACAGGUUGUGAAAUACUCGUGAUCUUGUGGGAAUUUGUGACUGAAACUGUCUGCUAUUGAGUUUUGUGCACAGGGAGGUAAGUCAUAGACAAUAUAACAUUGUGGGAGUUGAACCAAUUAGCCUCAUUGCUUUUGCACGUGGAGAAGGUGACCUGGCUUCUCCUUGCUGACUGAUAUAGUACAUACAGGCUACAUUGUCUGUUAGGGUCUGCGUGUGUGAUCCUGUGCCCAGAGGGAGAAAAUGGGUGCAGGUGUUCCUGCCUGCUCUGAGCUGGAGGAGAUUAAUGUGAAGUGGUAUCUCCAUGGGUGGUGAUAUGAGACCAUUUAGAUGCACACCCCACCCUUUGAGUGAAGUGUCAGUGGCGAGGAGCAACAACAGGACCGUUUGUGAAAAAGAGGUCCCCUUGCAAAUGGUGCCUGUCUGGUGGAUGGUGACAGGAAUCUGUCCAGCCUGGCCUUGUUUGCUCUUUAAAGCCAGCUGACCCACAUUUGGAGACAUUGCAUGUGAAGCCUGGCAUGUGGUCUUCCACCAUGCCUGCUCCCAUAUGCCCUGCAGAUUGGAGGCAGAGCCUGGCUGAUAUCUGUGGGCUGCUUUGAAGAGUGCCUGUGUGUGCCUAUGUACAGGAACCUGUGUUGAGGCAAGAGGACUUUGGCCUGUAACGAGUCAAAGUUGGCCCCUAUGAAUUCCAGAAAUGGCACUGAAUGUAGCUUGACUUUUGGGUAUUGAUCUCUAGGUCCAGAUCUGUAAGCACGUGCAUUGUCGCUUCAGUGACUUGGUGAGUCUUUUGAAGACAUCUGGCUCUGAGGAGACUACCAUGCGGGGAAGGGUAGAUCAUUAUCCCUUGGGAACGCGAAUGAGUGGCCAGCACUGAGAGAACUUUGUAAAAUGCUCUCAUGGAUGGCGAUAGCCUGAAGGGGAGCUCUCUGCAGUGGUAGUGGCUGUACCCUAGAAUGAAUCUGAGAAAUCUGUUUGUGGUGGGGUUGAGAUGAAAAUAGGCAUUCUGCAGGUCAAGGGCUACCAAACUGUCUGGUCCAAAGUGGAAUGAUAAGGUGACUGAUUUGAAUUUUUGAGUUUUGAUAAACUUUUUGGGAGCUCUGAGUCCUAGUAUGUCUCCAACCUCCUUUCCUUUUGUGCAGGGGUGGCAAAUCUCAGGACCAGCAGCUGGGUGCAGCCCCCAGCUUGCCUGGAUCCAGCCCUUGUGACUCAGGGAGCCGGUGCCUACUGCGGGACUGGAGCACACAGAACUGCUAGCCUGCAGGGUUCUCUCUAAACUGUGCACUUGCGCAGGUGUGCGGAAAAGAUUUCCACCCUGACCACCUCCUAUGCAGAGCCGUGGGCCAGGGCUGGAGGCUGGAGGAACUGUGAGGUGGGUAGCAGGAGGCUGCUUUGGUGGCUGGAGUCAGAAGAGCCAUGAGCUGGGCGGCAGGAGGCUGCUGUGGCGGCCCGGUCCAGAGAAGCCACGUGGCGGGUGGCAGGAUGCUGCUCUGGCAACUGGGGCUGGAGCUGCCACAUGCCUCCCCUAAUCUGUGGGACCUUCAUUUAAGGGCAGGGACUGGGGUCAGUAGAUUGCAAGGCUGGACACAACUAUAGGGUGUGUGGGGGUGUAGCAGUUAGACAGUACCAGCUGUCUGUGUGUGGUCCUGACGGGAGCAUAGGCAUGGGGCAUGCACAGAGUGUGUUGGGACAUGGGCCAGCAAGCUGGGUGAUUUUUUCAGGUUGGGGAUGGGCACCAUGUUAAUUAUCCAUUAUUUAAAAUUAAAUGUAUAUAUAAUUUUGUUAGUGGUUACUGGUAACUAGUGGUUGCUUCUCACUCGUGUGCAGCCCCAGAUAGAUUUUUCUUUCAAAAAAGGUUUCCCACACCUGCUUUUGGGUAUUACAAAAUAACAAGAGUAGGAUCCCUUCCUUCAUAAAUGCUAGUGUUGAUUCUAUGACUCCCUCACUGUAAGGGGCCAUCCAUCUGUUGUAUCUCUUGUCAUAGUAAACCCUUGUGCAAAAGGGCCCCCAUCUGCAAAGUUCUCCUUAAGGCACAGCAAUACAGAACUUCUCUGAUCCUGGUGGGGCCAGUCUGGCCCUGCCAGUAUUGGUUCACGAAGCUGCUGGAUGUCUUAGUGGAGGAGCAUACAACUCUUCACAUGUUCCCAGACCUAAUUACCCAGGACCAUGAACAGUUAUGUCACCCCAACCUGCAAUCCUUCCACCUAAUGGCCUUGGGGAAGCUCCAUGGUUGACACGGGGGAAGCAACAAGAUUUGGAAUAAGUGAAGGUGGUGCUCUUGGAUGGUAGGAAACCUUCCACUAGAGCCAUUUACCUGGUUUAGUGUACACAUUUUUCAGUUUGGUCCUUCUCUAAGGGCAUAGCCAUGCUGGAGGCCGUGGUCCCAUUCAUACUGGAGUACUUGUUAGAUCUAAGAACACAGGGAUUAUCUGUACCCUCAGUCUGGAUCCAUCUAGCGGCUGUCUACUUUUCACCCUGGUAUCCAAGGCAAGACAGUUUUUGCAAACCCGAUGGUACAUAGUUUCCUGAAGAGCCUAGAUAGGUUUCACCCACAGGUGUGUCAGCCUCUUCCACCCUGAGACUCUAACCUGGUCCUCACAAGACUCAUGGGGCCACCUUUUAAGCCUUUAAUGACUUGCUCUUUGUUGCCGUUGUCACAGAAAAUAACAUUCUUGGUGGCUAUUACGUUAGCUAGACGGGUGUCAGAAAUCAAUCUCAGAGCCCUCUUCCUCUUUAAAGAGAAGUUCAAACUAUGCCUACAUACAGCAUUUUUUACCUAAGGUGGUGUCCCAAUUUCAUAUAAAUCAAGCUAUCUUCCUCCCUGUUUUAUUUCCUAAACCACAUCCUAAUAAUAAAGAAUGAGUGCUCCACACCCUGGAUGCGUGACAUGCUUUGGAGUUUCAUUUAGAGAGAACACAAUCAUCUCCAUAGCAGAUAGGAUUACGGGUCUGCCAAUCUCCACCUGGCAGAUAUUUGUGGAUCACAGCCUGCAUCAGGACCUGUUAUGACCUCACUAAAGUGCCAGUGCCAGCUAUCAUGGCCCACUCCAGUAGAGCCCAGGCCUCUUCGGCAGCCUUUGUGGCACAGGUACCCAUCAUGGAUAUAUGCAGGACAGCAACUUGGUCUUUACCAACCACUCUCCCAUCUCCCAGCAUGCUAGGGAUGAUGCAGCAUUCAGGAGACCUGAGUUGCAGUAUAUUUCCAAUUAGUCUCUGAUCCCAUCUCUUUUAGUACAGCUUGGGAUUCACCUAAAUGGAAUGGACAUGAACAAUCACUCAAAGAAGAAAAAAUGGUUACCUGCCUUUCAUAACUGUUCUCUGAGAUGCGUUGACAGUGUGCUUUCCAAAUCCUGCCCAUUUCCCCUUCACUGUAGAGUUCUGGCAAGAAGGAACUGAGGGGAUGGAGUGCAGCAAGGAUAUAUAUGCACCGCCAUGGAGGUGCUACUCUAGGGGACCCAGUAGGUGUUGCUGAGGGAAAAAAACUCCCAACAAUCGUGCACUCAGUGCGAUGGACAUGAGCAACAAUCUCAAAGAACAACAGUAAUGAAAGUUAGGUAACUUUUCUGUUUCUCAGCAAACUAAAGUAACAAAAGAAGGACAAAGGCUGGAUUGGAGUGAAUUUGUUCUGAGUUUUUGUGGGUGGGGACCUGGCCCAAGCAUGACAUCUUAAAGACAUAGUAUAUAGGAAAAGGCAGAGAAAGCAUAGAAAAGAAGUGUGGAGUGGACUGGAAAGCAAAAGGGAAAAUAUUAUUCAGCAUGCACACAGUUUCGUACAUAACUCCCUUGCUCUUGCCACAGAAAAACUGUCAUGGCUUCUGGGCAUAAGAGAGACCGUAUCCAGGAAUAUUUUGAAGAAGGAAAUUCAUUUGCUGUGCAAAAAAGGAAAACCAUGUCAAGUACAAGCAGUGCAAAAAGAUGCAGUACUUACUUACAGGAAUGGAACAUUACGAGAACUAAUUAUAGAAGCUGUGGGACACUGGAUAUUUGGUAUUCUGAGGAUUUAUCUGUUAGAGUUAAUAAAAUUUUGAAAAUUAAAAAAGUGUAAGGACAGUGUAAUGGAUGGAAGUAGUGAUGACCAGCACCCAGUGAUGAAGCUCAGGUAGCUAGCAGAGUUGUUGGCUAGGGAGCCCGGAGAACCAAACAAGGUAAGAGUUGAUUUAGAUAUAGGUUCUCUACCUGCUUUCUUUGUGUGGGAGAGAGAAACCAGGAGUUGAGAAAGAGAGCAUGAUUUAAACCCUGGCAGGACUAUUAUGUCUCCAAGGAAUUCAUGGUCUGCGAGUGGACUCAACAAAGAGAGUAUUGGAAGUAAGGAGAAGUGAAUCUAGUCACGUUCAGUGUAUACUUACCCAAUGACCAGAGGAUAGCUUGGAGUCCUUCACAGUGGAAGGGAGGCUUCAGGUCAUCACAACAGAGAACUUUAUGACCUUGAGAGAGAGUCCUCAACUGUGUGGUGAAUUGUACCUUUCUGGAAACCUAACAAGUGGAGUCAUGACACUUGUCACAUCACCACAGCCAUGGAGAUGGACCUAGCUGCCAUGUUGAGAUGAUUUAUUAAAAGGAUCUGCAGGGAAGACUUACCUCUGUGACGGGGAUCAAGAGAGUUGCCUCCAUGAAGAUGAUCUUUUGGUGAGUGUGAUCAGAAGUCACCAAGGUGGCGUUUUGAAAGGUAUCUUGCUAUAUACGAUGAUAACCAUUCCACUACAUGUGUGCAAUGCUGGCUCUGUACAGAUAGCACAGCAAACUCCAGAAGAACCACAACAUCAGAUAAGGGUGGUCUUCUGAAGACCACAACAUCAGAUAAGGGUCAAAGGCCAGGUUUACUAUAAAUGAAGCACAGUAAUAGACCUGGUAGACUCUACGAGGAUACUAAGUGAGUGAAACAAUGGAAAUAGCUCCUUCGGUGGUGGGACUUUACUCUGCCCCCUAAGCUGGAUAAAGACAAGACAGCCCCCUUAAGAUAUAUUGAUGGUAAAGGAACAAACCAUCCCAAUGUGCAAAGAAUAAAGAAUAGCAAAUUUUCUAGGCAACAACCUUGACUUAACAAAGAAAACUUCUGAGAGAUUAUACAAAAAGAAAUCUUACAAGAAAUGUUAAGUUGGACAGAUGACUAGGAGGAAUGUAGAAAAUAUUGCUCAAGCAUGCAAUGGGUGUAAUCAUGAAAGCCAAAACACAACUGGAGUUGCAGCUAGCAAGGCAUGUGAAAGAUAACAAGAAGUAUAUGUUAGCAACAAGGUUAGGGAAGUUGUAGGACCCUUACAGAAUGGAGAAGGCAACCUAGUGACAGAUCGAAUGGAAAAAACUGAAAUAUUCAAUGCUUUUUUUCUCCCUGCCUCCUUGGUCUUCACAGACUAGCUCAGACUGCUGUACUGGGCAGCAUGGUAUGGGGAGAAGGUGAGUAGCCCUCAGUAGUGAAACGAGUUAAAGGUUAUUUAGAAAACUUGAACACACGUGUCCAUGGGGCUGAUUCUGAGAAAUCGUGGUGAUUGGGGCAGGUCCUAAAGAAUUGUAAAAAGGUAGAUGUACUGCCUGCUCUUUAGAAAAGAGGAGGAGGAGAAUCCAAGUAACUACAGACUAGUCAUCCUCACUUCAGUCGCUAAAAAAAUGGAGUAAGUCCUCAAGGAAUCCAUUUUACAUCAUUUGGAGCACAGUAAAAUCCACAUGGAUUCACCAAGGGCAAGUCUGGCUCUGUGAAUAUGGGGAAAAGCAGUGGACGUGAUAUACCUUGACUUUAACAAAGGUUUUCAUAGGGUCUGCCAUGGUGUUCUUGCCAGCAAGUUAAACAGAAUUACUGUUUAAAAAAUUGUUUUUAAAAUUGAUUAGUUCUAGAAUAUAGUAGAGCUCUGAAAGAGAAAGACAGUACACUGGAGAGUGGUAACUGUGUAUAAAUUUUCUGAAUUAAUACCGAAAAUAUUUUAAAGUUUGCUGAUGCUAAAAAUGAAAACUAGCUGCAGUUGUUGCACUUUCCCAAUGUGUAAAUUAGCUUCUGCUGCAUCUAACAAAGAGAUACUCAUGCUUUUUACACUCUAAAAAAGGAAGUUACUCACCCAGUCAUCCCCGGAGCUGUAGGAUUGGAGACUUUUUCAAAGCAGUCAGGCUGUGCAUGCACCAGCAAGCUUCUUGCACUGCUGGCAGUUAGACAGCUGAGCGCGGCCUGACCCUCUCCCCUCAGUUUCUCAUCUACUGCAGAGCAAGUGAACUCUGAGUAGUGGGGAAGAAGGGAGAG